This is a small nucleolar RNA of Gossypium raimondii (Peruvian cotton), 104 nucleotides long. It matches the Rfam family "Plant small nucleolar RNA R71". Rfam says of the family: R71 is a member of the C/D box family of snoRNAs containing the C (UGAUGA) and D (CUGA) box motifs. Multiple nearly identical copies of this snoRNA have been identified in Arabidopsis, and it is thought to function as a 2'-O-ribose methylation guide for 18S ribosomal RNA. Lineage: Eukaryota; Viridiplantae; Streptophyta; Magnoliopsida; Malvales; Malvaceae. The record is from Rfam.
AAUCCAUGAUGUAGGCAUCUCUGUAUUAGAAUUUUAAAAUGCUCCCAAGCUUCGUGAAAGCUCUCUCCUAAUUGUUUGAAUGUUGCAAUCUCUCUCCUAAGUUG